Long non-coding RNA from Macrobrachium nipponense, 1454 nucleotides. RefSeq lists it as uncharacterized. The record is from RefSeq and is a predicted model, not a curated record. NCBI's taxonomy places the organism in Eukaryota, Metazoa, Arthropoda, Malacostraca, Decapoda, Palaemonidae. The transcript has 3 exons.
UGUGCAUUCUCGCGAACGCGUGACCGAAGGAUGCCAGACUAUAUACAAGAAGAAGAAGGGGCCACACUUUGCUAGUGGCCAGCCUGCCUGAGUCUCUCGUAGAGAGUUUCAGUGCUGCCCCGAGCUCGGUGGGCUUCGGACGUGUUUGUGUAGUCGGUGGGUUUCUUACGUUGGUCUCUGUGAUGUCUCCCCGGUAGUGCUUAUUAAACGAGAAUAGUAGAGAUUAAUAACAUGAAGACAAUAGAAAUUAUUGUAAUGGACUUUUACUUUACAAAAACACGAUAUUUGAUACAAAAACACGAUAUUUGAAUCAAAGGCUUUAAUUGAAAUCCCAUUUCCCAUUGGAAAAAUCGAUCCUGACCAUCAAUAUUAAGUGUUGUGUAAUAAACUGAGAUAAAAAAAACUGAUGCUGACAAAAACCUGUCAGAUCUGCAAUGAGUGUCACAGUAACCUGCGGCUUAAUACUGGAAUGAGGAAGACAGGACUGGAUAAAUAUUAUAUCGGUUAUUAAGAUCUGCUGUUGUCGGCAGCCUGUUCAGAACCGAAAACAUCCGGUUACGAAACAGCGAACAGCUUCAGCGUAAACUUCAUUCUCACUCUGGAAACGAAAUGAGUGUUUUUAAAAAUAUCCACGCAUUUUAAAAGCAUCGUUGAAAGUUCACCGAAAUUGCAUCAGUAUCUUUUAUACGAAACUGCCUCAACAAUGAAGGUUUAUUAAAUCCAUAACGAAACAUCUGCGCCGUUCAUUAUUUGGGAAAUCGAGAGCCAUUGUGACGAGCCGCCCAUGAUGAAUGCAUCUUUGGCAAACUGACAGUGUUAAAUUACUGCGUGGGAAACGAGAUUUGUUUACAGGAUUUUAUAGAAAUACCAAAGGUUUAGGUAAAUUAUGUCAGUUGUAGUUCUACGGUUAUUAUGGGCAGAAUAUAAUGAACUGAGUACAAUGAACGGAGUAUAAUGAACUGCUUCAGUUAAACAUUCCCAUAACCUGAAAUUAUGACAGUGAUUCCUCUCAGGAGAUGGAUGUGAAAAUGAUAAUAGGUGGCUCGCGUCGGUAAAUCCAAGAUGAACGCGUAGGUGGAUUGAAGUGAUUCCCCUAUGAGUGAAUUUACUGAGCUUAUGUUAAUAAGGUCUAAAUUCGAAUUCUGUAUAAUCCAUUAUCUAGAGUCAUUUGCACAUAAACAUGAACAGUCAUGCGAAAUAUACCCCACGGUCGUUAAUCAACUUACAGACUAAUUAAACUCCCUCGAGAACGAAGAGAACCGAACAAGCAUUCAGGGCGUCCUGAAACCCCAGAGGAUGGGCGUGCUUUCCAGUAGCACGACGCCCCUGGACGUGGGCGCCUUCAAUCACUCGUGGGAAGACGAAUUAUGGGAUCACGGCGACCAGCGUGAUAUAUUGGACUGUCAGGCAUUAUUCAACGCGACUCAGGUGUCCUCGACUCCGCCUAAUAUACA